AUACUGGGCUGACAGUAGAGCGUGCCCCAGCCUUCCUUGUUCCUGGAUUCUGGCUGAGCGUGUCUGCAAGGCGCUGUGGGGCAGCUACCAGCUGUACUCAGUGCUAGUCCCCACAUCAUUGCCAGCAUUUCCCCAGCCCUGCUGGUUCAGUGAACGGCUGUGGCCUCUCCUUGAAGCAUGUGACACCCAGUGGCACUAGUGAGGGGACUUCACCUUCAGUUCCUCCCAACCCACUGCAGUGUGAAGAACACGGCUAUGGAGGAGAGCUGGAUGGCAAUGGAGACAAUGUGUGAUAAGCAGCCAUCCCCAUUUCAUCAGGAAAGUUUUACCUGAAGGAAAAGUGCUAAAACGCCUGCCCUAAGGCGGUGAAUGACUUCAUCACCCCAGAAAAGUGAUGAGCUCUAGUUCAUCACUUGAAAAUGCCUCAUUCUUAGAUCUCCCACACUUGACUUUACAUUUAGUGGCUGAUAUUUGACCAAGUCAUUUUUUAAUUUAAUUAGCUUAUGUGAAAAUUUAUCCUUCUUCCUUUUUACAGCCAAGAUCUCACUCGUGAUGAGCAAAUUAAAAUUUAGCUUCUGAC
Molecule: long non-coding RNA, 580 nt
Organism: Gallus gallus (chicken)
Lineage: Eukaryota; Metazoa; Chordata; Aves; Galliformes; Phasianidae
Exons: 2
Source: RefSeq, a predicted model, not a curated record